RNAcentral lists this long non-coding RNA (1188 nucleotides) under Chrysemys picta bellii (western painted turtle). RNAcentral describes it as "lncRNA (ENSCPBG00000015491.1)". Lineage: Eukaryota; Metazoa; Chordata; Testudines; Emydidae. The record is from RNAcentral.
AGCAGAUCUAGACAACUAAGUGGGUAAAGCGCCUACUGCCUUGUCUGCACCAGCGCUCUUAUUACUACCACAAAUGGAGUUGCAUCAGCAUUAGUAACAGUAGGAAAUGUUAGGGAUGCAAAGCCAUGAUAAGCUCUUUAAGGGCUUCUCUUCACCAGUAAAUUCACCUGAGUUAUGGCACAAGUGUUCCCAGUGAACGCACUGUUCGGACUUUAUGACUUGGCCGGAGGGCAAAACCGGAUGUGAUACGGAGUCCUUAUCUUCUGUGUUAUUGGCUUAGCACCACUAGCGCUUGCUGUAAUCUGCGUUUCUAACAGCCCAGGUUUUGUACAAGUGUGUGGGAUAUAGACAAGGCCUUUGUAUUUGCUGCUGAUGAUUGAAAGCUCUUAUAAUAAACAUCUAACUGGAGAAGACCCACCAAGGUCAGUUGGCAGCUUGCAGGGGGCACCAGAGGUGAGAAAAGAAUUGUGAUCUCGCACCCUGUUACCCCAUCGUGUCACACAUGAUUGAGGAUGUUACAGCAACCGCCAUGCAACUCAAGUGUCAUUGUGCAGCAUAGGUGCAUUCUCUCAGGCUAGGAAGUAACUGAUGGUUGAUGGGCUUGAGUGAGUGCUGUAGUGUGGACACACCAUGUAUCUGAGGAGGGCCUAGAAUUCCAGGCAUAGGCAAGUGAGGUGAAUGAUUUAAGUAGCGUUGCAAACUUGGUGGUGUUGGUAUCAAGCAUUCAGCCAACUCCUCUGCCCUGCCCUGCCCUCUUGUAUGGUCUUCCUUAUCAUGGGACAUGCAAUACUGGUAGUGAGUGUUACUGCAGCAUUAUUAUUGUUGCAUUCAGUGUGUCCUCUUCACUUCUGGGUUAUCUUUCCCAGGGAUGCCAAGAAAACCAUUCUUUCUUCAUUGGUGUAAUUUACUCAGACUUAGUUUAGGCAAAAAAGGUAGGUCAACUCAGCUAUAUUGCUCAGGGGUGUGAAAAAUCUGCACUCUUGAGCGAUGUUGUUAAGCCAACCUAACCCCCUCUGUAAACAGCAUUAGCUAUCAACUCUCAGGAAGGUGGGUUACCUGCCCCGAUGGGAGAACCCCUCCUGUCAGCAUCGGGAGUGUCUACAUCAGGAGUAGGCAACCUGCGGCACGUGAGCUGAUUUUCAGUGGCACUCGCACUGCCCGGGUCCUGGCCACUGGCUAGGUGGCUCU